This is an RNA transcript of Ailuropoda melanoleuca (giant panda), 4771 nucleotides long. It is a transcript of the gene named cyclin dependent kinase like 1, with no coding region annotated. The transcript is spliced from 9 exons. The record is from RefSeq and is a predicted model, not a curated record. NCBI's taxonomy places the organism in Eukaryota, Metazoa, Chordata, Mammalia, Carnivora, Ursidae.
CGCCGCCGCCCCCGCGGGGCCCCGGCCGGUGUCUCCUUGCGCAAGGGAACCGAGACCCGAAAGGAGAACCGGGGAAGCCCUGAGCCUUCCCGUCCUGCUGCCGGCUCACGUGUCUUAGAUCGGGUGCCCUCUUAACAUUAAACAGGAGAGAUUAUCUUACACCUCGGGUCGUUCUAGGACGGCGGGUUGCAUUCUAACUUGAGGGAGUAUACCGGACGCUUACGAUCGGGCUACCGAAGGCAGCGAGCUUUGUCUGUCAUCCCGGAUCUCUUUGCCAUGGCUGAGGGGCGAGGUUUAGGGACCUGGGUCGAUUCCUAAUUCCUUAACAAGUGCCCUUCUGUUCCAGGUGCUUGACAAAGACCCAUCGUUGAGUGGGGCUCCAGUGCAGUCUGUUCGUGCCCGUAUUUUAUAAGCGACGUCUUCAAACUAUGUGAAGAUCCGUUUUAAGAUUUAUUCCUCUAUGAUGGAGAAGUAUGAAAAAAUUGGGAAAAUUGGCGAAGGAUCCUAUGGAGUUGUUUUCAAAUGCAGAAACAGGGACACGGGUCAGAUUGUAGCCAUCAAGAGAUUUCUGGAAUCAGAAGAUGACCCUGUCAUUAAGAAAAUCGCCCUUCGAGAAAUCCGCAUGCUCAAGCAACUCAAGCAUCCCAACCUUGUGAACCUUAUUGAAGUCUUCAGAAGGAAGCGGAAACUUCACCUGGUGUUUGAGUACUGUGACCACACGGUUCUCCAUGAGUUGGACAGACACCAAAGAGGGGUACCAGAACAUCUUGUGAAGAGCAUAACUUGGCAGACUCUGCAAGCUGUAAAUUUUUGCCAUAAACACGAUUGCAUACAUAGAGAUGUGAAGCCAGAAAAUAUCCUCAUCACAAAACAUUCAGUGAUUAAGCUCUGUGACUUUGGAUUUGCUCGGCUUUUGACUGGACCGGGCGACUACUACACAGACUACGUGGCCACCAGGUGGUACCGCUCCCCAGAACUCUUGGUGGGGGACACACAGUAUGGCCCCCCAGUAGAUGUUUGGGCAAUUGGCUGUGUCUUUGCUGAGCUGCUGUCAGGGGUGCCUCUGUGGCCAGGAAAAUCAGAUGUGGAUCAGCUCUAUCUGAUUAGGAAGACCUUGGGACAUCUCAUUCCUAGGCACCAACAAGUAUUUAGCAUGAAUCAGUACUUCAGUGGGGUGAAAAUCCCAGACCCUGAAGAUAUGGAACCACUUGAAUUAAAAUUUCCAAACAUCUCUGAUCCUGCUCUGGGGCUCUUAAAGGGCUGUCUCCACAUGGAUCCUGCUGAGAGACUGACGUGUGAGCAGCUGCUGCAGCACCCGUAUUUUGACAGCAUCAGAGAAGUGGGGGCUCCGGCCGAAGAGCUUGACCGACCAGUGAGGAAGACCCUGAGGACGAGCCGCACGCACCUGCCCGGGGUAAGCGCAGGGCGCUCUCUUCCGGAAGCAGCCAGGCUUGCAGCUUCAAAUGGUCUCGCGCCUGCCACCUGGUACAGACAGCCCGCGUCUCGACCUGAGGUGGCAGGUGCGGCUUGCAGCUCCAGCACCCUCCGUCCAGCACCGGGAGGAAGGUCGAAGGAGCUCUCAGCCAGGGCUCCAGACGCGUCUGCCUCAGAGGGCCCCUUCUCCUGAAUCCUGCAGGGGUCCUUGCCCUGUGGGUCCUUCCCUGCUGCCGCAGGGCAGCUGGGGGGGGGGUUGUUGUGCAAGAGCACAGGGCGUAGACCCGUACACGAGUGUGAGUGUCUCGGAGCCUGCUUUUUGUGCUCUGGAGAAUGAAAUCCAGAGUAUCCCAGGCAGCUGUCUGUCAUCAUGUGUACUUUCCGUAUUGACUGACAGCCCAGGUGGAUCCAAAAAUGGAACCGUUUUCCCUCGAAUCCUUCGAUCGUCAGAGUUGGCUAGGGUAGAUAGGGUGAUCGUGCUCUCGGCGGUAUCAGCGGACCAGCUUCCGUUGUCAGAGACUAGCACCCCAGCUGCACACUGGGAGCCUGUGCAGAACACGACUGGAUGACGCAGGCCGAGUAGCUUUACAGUAAGCGUCUUGGUAGAAGCCGAAAGCCCUAGUAAUCAGAAUGGACUGCAGUUGGAACCACAACUGAGAUGAGCUGGCUACUCCUGGCCCCUUCUGGAUCUGCUUAGGGAGCCCUUAAUCUAGAAAUUAUUAUGCCCUAGUCUUUCCCUUUGCAGCCCCCCCUGCCCAGGGUGCUGAAUGGCAUCUGGGGGGUGCGUGUGAGGUUUGGAGGAGAGAAGAGGAUGGACAAUCCAUGAGGAACAGUUACAGGGCCCACCUCAGCCGGCUAGCGGCAGCUUCCUUCCAGCUUUGGAUAAUAAGAAGUACUACUGGAAUGUCAGGAAACCGAACUACCAAUUUGCAAACAUUUAAGGAGCGUGGAGAUGGAUGAUGAAAAAGGCGUUAAUCAAUCAUUUGGAGAAAACGAAACGCAUACAUUUGCUUAAAAACAAUCACCAUGUUGAAAGAUCAUCAGGAGAAAACCUAAGGAACAAAGGGGGGGGCCACCUGGCAGGACAGGAAGGGAAAUUCCGGACGCAGCCUUCCAGGCUUCACGAUGGUGACUGGAACGGAAAGGAAACACUAGUUUGGAUUUUCACUUGCAUUUUUGUUGUAUCUAAGUAGCUGAGCUAAUGGACAGAAAUAUAAACUCUACUUACUGCCCCUAUCUCGGGCAAAAUGAGCAACGUAAGAAGGGUUUAUGCUUCCAUUGUACCCCGUGACCCAAGUGAAGAAUGGAUUACAGAACACCCGUAUGUAUUUCUUGUGGCCCUUUUGCCUCGAGUCCUAUCCCCUGCCUUUCAGACUGUCUCAACAUCAUAUUUAAGAAGAGUUUUAGUUCCUGAAAUCAAAAUGCUUACUAUUCUAUUUCCUCCUUGCUCUAUCUCUAGAUUUUUAUAUUUUAAAACAUUUUUAGAAUAUUUAAGAGUCAUUCAAAAUACUUAAAAUCAUGGAUUAUUGUAACAGAAUUAUUUGCUUACAUAUUUCAUGAUGUUAAUAGACAUUUCUUACAUAUACUUUUGUCUUUACCUUUAGUAAAGGCUGCACCUUAGUCAUUUUUGCAGGCAAGUUGGGUUUACAUAACCCACCUCCAGGUGACCCAAUUUCCCUUACAAACAAUGGUGUGAAGGCUGACAGCUGACCAAGGCUCGAUCAAGGCAUAGAACAAGACCUGCAGGCUGCACGGGAACUGAGCCUAUUGGCCUGAAAGUGGUAAGUUCUUCAUUGUGUCCAGCUCUGCCUCAGACUUGGAGACAGAUCCACAGGCAGGACUCUCUAUAAUGAUCUGGGUUUUGGAAGAAAUUUCUUGUGAGUUUUUACUCGGACCAUGAAAGACAUUAGGUUGUAAACGGGUAUUGUCCCUGAAAUACCUUUUGAUACUGUAUGUGUGUGUACUGUACAUAUAUAUGGAUGUGUAUAUAAAACAUACCCACAUAUAUGUGUAUAUACACACACAUAUAAAUACCUACACGUGUGUGCACGUGUGUACAUACACUAUGCUAAGAACUGGUAACGACUAAUUAGAAAAUAGUCCAAAAUGAUACUGAGGAUUCCUAGCUUUGUAUCACGAUACCUAAAAUGAUGACGUAUAAUUAGCUUCGACUUGGCCUGCCGCUCCGAUUCCAAAAGCGUUGGAAUCGUCCCCUGCCACAGGGGCAGGAUGAAGCUCACGUCUGUGUCUUGUAGCUCACUGCCAGUUUCGGCUGAUGGGCUGCUGCUCUUUCCUUAGUGGUUCCCAGCCAUGGUUUUUGAAAUUCUAUUUUACUGUCUCUUCAAAACAUUUCUACUUGCUCCAAUUAGUUUACUGCUCUAGUUAACUUCCUUCGUGACAGCAUUUGACUUUAUUCACUUACUGCUAAGUAACUCACCAAAUUCAGGCAUCUGUUCAAUAAUUUUGGCUACUCCAGGGGCACCUGGGUAGCGCAGUCGUUAGGCGUCUGCCUUCGGCUCAGGGCGUGAUCCCGGCGUUAUGGGAUCGAGCCCCACAUCAGGCUCCUCCACUAUGAGCCUGCUUCUUCCUCUCCCACUCCCCCUGCUUGUGUUCCCUCUCUCGCUGGCUGUCUCUAUCUCUGUCAAGUGAAUAAAUAAAAUCUUUAAAAACAUAUUUUUGGCUACUCCAGCUGGUUUAAUGAUAUCCUAAGGCCCCUGAUGUAUGUAGCUUCUUGCAAAGAGCUGACAGGGGGUUAAAUACUAGUCCUAGCGUUAUCCAAUUCUUCUUCUGUGGCUUUGAUUCAAAUGACAAGGAAGGACAUCCCACUUCUGUUUACGUUUUCUGUUUCCCUUUUUAACCCAAAACAAUGCACUUGACGAGGCAGAUCACUAGUUUGUUCGGCGGUUUUAUAGAAAACCAUCCAGAAGACAGAAGUAGUUCUGGGCUAGAUCCUGGUGAAUUGGUUGCCUCGCCACACAGUAAUCAAACAAAUCUGAGACGGAAGCGUUCGUUUUUUCUAAUAAGUUCUAGGAACUGUGUACCAGUGCUUAAUUUAACCACCGCUGUAGCCCUUCGUUCAGGACGGGGUCCCCACUGUCUCGCACGAAGCUGUUCUCCAUCCUAGUCUUUUUUUUAAUUGACUGUGUUGAUUUUAUAAAUGAUAGUGGCAAUUUUAUUUGUAAAUAGUGUAUCAUUCAUGGCAAGUGCUAGUUACAUAAGCUGCUUCCUAAACACAACUAAAAUUCAUUUUUCUACCCGAAUGCUGCAUCAUACAGUGUUUGUUUUAAAAUUAUUUCUGGGGGCACCUGGGUGGCACAGCGGUUAAGCGUCUGCCUUC